Non-coding RNA from Triticum aestivum (bread wheat), 122 nucleotides. NCBI's taxonomy places the organism in Eukaryota, Viridiplantae, Streptophyta, Magnoliopsida, Poales, Poaceae. The record is from Rfam.
UUUAUGCUCCCUCUGUCCGAAAAAGCUUGUCCCAAGCUUGUCUCUCAAAUGGAUGUAUCUAACACUAGGUGCUAGAUACAUCCAUUUGAGGGACAAGUUUUCUUGGACGGAGGGAGUAUUCA